CAAGUACGCGGGUUCCGCAUCCGCGGAUUCAACCAAUUGCCAAUAGUAAAGGUAGUACUAUAAGAUCCGAGGCUGGUUGAAUCCGUGGAUGCGGAACUCGCAGCUAUGGGUAUGGACCCCCGACUGUAUUUGCUGUUUUGAAACUGUGCUGCGUGUAGCUUCUGCAGGGACCUCUGAGCACUAAGGGAUUUAAAUCGUUAGUAGAAGGCCUAGGAAAAUAGGGCUUUGAGGGGCUGCCCCAAAACCCUUUCUGUAAGUAGGACCAAGGAUAAAAAUGGAGGGACUAUGCUUCAAUUUAAGUGGUUUCACGUGCUCAAGAGGCACCUCCCAUAUAUGGCCUCAAGUUGCCUCCGGAUUGAUUAGUUACUUAAAACAAGAGGAAUAUUCCUCAGGUGGCCCGUUUCUGAGGUAAAGAAAGCCAUGGUGGAGACAGACGGUCAACACGCCUGCUUACACGGGAUCGUGGGUGCUGCAUGACUAGAAAGAACCCACGUUUAAUUAGGAACUACGGAGAAUGGAAGUUAAGAGGUUGUCACAUACUCCAUGGGAAAGAAAAACAAGAUAAGACCUGCCAAAACACCUAUACAAGAAAGGAAGAAAGAGAUGGAGGAAAGGGAGAAAAGGAAGAAGAAGGAUGGGAGUUUCUUCAUUUAUUUCAGAAUAUGAAAGUGCUUUCUCUUAUGGAUAAACACAUGCCAAGACAUCUUGACAUUUGGUCAUCAUUAUUCUCUUCAUGUCAACCUACUUGAGGUGUUCAUCCUGCUAUUCUGGAAAUACUGGAAGAGUAUCCUCUAUAAGUAACCAGAGAAAGUCAAAGAACAGAGAACCCAGGCAUCUGUCUACGUUAAAAGGUGAUACAGUCAAAUGAAUCCACAGAAUGAUCCAUUUAACUAGACAGUCUACGCCAUACAACCAUUGAAGUAAGUUGUUCUUCUGGGGACACACAAACAUGCUUGAAAUAUCCCCUAAAUACAACACUUCUUCUUGUUCCAGAUUCUCCGCAAAACCAUGAGAACCUUUGGUAUAUUUCAGUCUCCUUCAAAGCUCCACUCCUCUGGCCUCUUAACCAGAGUCAGAUACUCAGUUCACACUGGUGGGCUGCCUACUUCAUUCUAAACACUGUGCUGCAUAUGAGGCAUACCAAAUGAAAGGCAUUUUCAAGCUGAAAUUAAAUAUCUGACCGGUGUUCCUGACGGCUCCUCUCCCGGUGCCACUGUGGGCUGCCUUAAAAGGAAAAUGCUUAUGUAAAGAAGACAAGUGUGGGAAGGCAGGCAUCAGCUUAACAGACCAAGGAGCUCAGCAAUUCCACCCACCGCUUCUUCCCCAGAGCAAACUCCCAAGAGGUGCUCUUCUAGCGAGAUGUCUGGUACUUUACAAUGCUUCCCCAGCCCUUUCUGAGGCGAUGAUUUCCUCCUGAUAGCUUAAUUUUAUUAGAUCAUAGGAGCACAGUCUGUAAAUGUGAAAACACUUAAAGGGAAAGAGAAACUUUCAAAGCAGCUGUUUAAUGUUGGGUUUAAAAAAAAAAAGGAAUCCGAGAGGGGAAAAAAAGAGAGAACUAAAUCUAAAACCUUACAAAAUAAAAGCUAUUUAAGCAGGCCAGCUUUCCCUUUCUCUCUCUACCUAAAAUAUUCAUGAAUUCUGCCACUGUGGUAUUGUAUGCUAGAUGCAAUCAAAAACUCUUAUGCAGAGCAGAAAUCAUUGAAAAGUGUACUGUUACCUUACAAUGCUUCACAGAAAAAUCCAUGAAAUCUGCAUUGCAAGGCACUGUCUCUUACUGUAGCAAGAUUGCUUCACAAAUUUCCAGGAGAAGGAGCAAUGAUCUUCACUUUCUGUUAUGCUAUUCAUAACAAGAUGCCUGGAGGAGGUAGCUGGCUGCUGUAAGGACUGAGGAUUCUCUGAGGCUCUGCUGGGAGGAGAAAGCAUUGAAAGGGGGCAAAUGAUCGCAUUCAGGGCCAAUUCAAUAUCGGUGCCCUGUAAUUCCAACCAGGGAAACAUUUGGGGAACUGGAGAGCAGAUCUACCUCUUCAUGAGGCAGAAAGACAACUCCAAAGACUUCUACUUCAAAAGAACGCUCACCCCUCUGCAGGAGAUGGCUCACACAAUCUCUCUGAGACACCAAGAAGAGCCCAGUGAAAGAUCUGCCUGGAGCCUACCCCUCUGUUGUGCACAUGGGCACUGCUGCUAUUAUUUCUGCUUUGUGGUCACCAUUUAUUGUGUUACUGUCUUUGGUCCUGACAUGAGGAGGCUGUCUGCACCCAGCUGCUGCCCAGCACCCGUCCUAUCCCAAACUCAUGUUUCAUUUGGUCCCUGUGCUCCAAAACAAUCACAGUUGUCGUCUGAGUUGGCCUCUUCAUUUUUGGGAUCUCUUCCUUCUCUUUGAGGCUCAAGAGUAGCCCAUUAGGCUGAACUGAGGAUGGGAGUAUGGAUGGACAGAGGCCAUGCUGUUGAUGAUAUUAUUACCAUAUUCUCAUAUCCAUGGGUCCUUUGCUUGACUCCUUCAUCCUUUAUAUAUAUAUGUAAAUAUAUAAAUUGAGCAAGCAGAUACUUAAGAGCAUAGUGUCAUCUAAUUCCACACUCCACGUUCUAGACAUAUCCAGUUUCAAACCUGGCCCAGUUAGAAUAGCAUGCUACAUCUCUUAGAGAAGGCUAAAUCAGGGGCUAUUGUUUUAAUUGCUGAACUUUUUUACUCUCAACCAUGAUUUGAUUGAAAUUCUAUUCUAUGAUCAAAGAGGACUAUUUCACUACUAAAUAUAAUCCUUUAAAGAGUGAAGUAAGUGUUGAUAGCACAUUUUUCCAUCAUUUGCAGCAAGGUUACAUAAAUGAUUAACAAACAAAAUCUUCAGCUACUGAGAAGAGAACAUUAUAUUCACAAAAGAAGUGGCAUUCUUUAGAGAAAGGUAAAGACACUGUAGUUGCUAUGACUAAGUUCUGUCCAAUGUAAUUUAUAUAAUUUGAUACUUAGAUAAAUUUUUUUUAAAAAGUUAGAAACCAAUUAUUUGCUUCUGUAUUGAGAUGAAUUGUUAACUAUAAGUUUUAGCAUUUCACCCUUUUCUUUGGUUAAUUUAAGGCAAACAUCUGAUCAUCAUUGCCAAAUCAUAGGAAAACAAAAUCGA
Molecule: long non-coding RNA, 3113 nt
Organism: Equus caballus (horse)
Lineage: Eukaryota; Metazoa; Chordata; Mammalia; Perissodactyla; Equidae
Source: Ensembl